GACGAACGCUGGCGGCGUGCCUAAUACAUGCAAGUCGAGCGGACCGAUCAGGAGCUUGCUCUUGUUCGGUUAGCGGCGGACGGGUGAGUAACACGUGGGUAACCUGCCCGUAAGACUGGGAUAACUCCGGGAAACCGGAGCUAAUACCGGAUAACACCGAAGACCGCAUGGUCUUUGGUUGAAAGGCGGCUUCGGCUGCCCUUUACGGUUGGGCCCGCGGCGCAUUAGCUAGUUGGUGAGGUAACGGCUAACCAAGGCGACGAUGCGUAGCCGGCCUGGAGGGGGGGCCCGCCCACACUGGACCUGGACCCGGCCCAGACCCCCACGGGAAGCCACAAGAGGGGAUCUUCCGCAAAGGACGGAAAGCCUACGGGACGACGCCGCGGGGGCUGAGAAGGGCUUCGGAUCGGAAAGCUCUUUUUAUUGGGAAGAAGAAGCUGCGUACGAACAGGUCGGCGUGUUGACGGUACCUAACGAGAAAGCCCCGGCUAACUACGUG
This 499-nucleotide ribosomal RNA is filed under the name uncultured bacterium. RNAcentral's name for it is "partial 16S ribosomal RNA". It matches the Rfam family "Bacterial small subunit ribosomal RNA", at positions 28 to 507 of the family's 1533-position model. The record is from RNAcentral.